CAUCACGAGGGUUGUACUGUCUCCUUUCCCCAAUCAGUGAAACUGAUCUCUCCGUGAAGAAGCGGAGAUAAGCAUACAAGACGAGAAGACCCCAUGGAGCUUUAAACCCAGCAAUUACCUCUGUUCAAAAAUAUCCCUAUAGACAACGGAAUCUUAAAUGUCUGGUUUUGGGUUGGGGUGACCGCGGAGCACAACUUAACCUCCACGAUGGAUGGGCUAACCCCCUUAUCCAUGAGCUACGCCUCUAAGAAUUAGUAAUCUAACAUAAACUGAUCCGAUCAUCGAUCAACGAACCAAGUUACCCUGGGGAUAACAGCGCAAUCCACUUACAGAGCCCCUAUCGACAAGUGGGUUUACGACCUCGAUGUUGGAUCAGGGUAUCCU
RNAcentral lists this ribosomal RNA (384 nucleotides) under Aglyptodactylus laticeps. RNAcentral describes it as "partial 16S ribosomal RNA". It matches the Rfam family "Bacterial large subunit ribosomal RNA", at positions 2000 to 2548 of the family's 2925-position model. Lineage: Eukaryota; Metazoa; Chordata; Amphibia; Anura; Mantellidae. The record is from RNAcentral.